UCUACGGGUGGCAGCAGUGAGGAAUAUUGGUCAAUGGGCGCGAGCCUGAACCAGCCAAGUCGCGUGAGGGACGAAGGUUCCAUGGAUCGUAAACUUCUUUUAUCAGGGGACAAAGUGAGGCACGUGCCCCUUCCUGUAUGUACUUUAUGAAUAAGGAUCGGCUAACUCCGUGCCAGCAGCCGCGGUAAUACGGAGAAUCCGAGCGUUAUCCGGAUUUAUUGGGUUUAAAGGGUGCGUAGGCGGACUUUUAAGGCAGCGGUGAAAGUCCGUGGCUCGAACCUAGGAGAGCCGUUGAAACUGGGGGGCUGGAGAAUGUGAGAGGCAGGCGGAAUGCGUGGUGUAGCGGUGAAAUGCUUAGAUAUGGCGCAGAACCCCGAUUGCGAAGGCAGCCUACCGGG
Molecule: ribosomal RNA, 398 nt
Filed under: uncultured bacterium
Lineage: Bacteria
Description: partial 16S ribosomal RNA
Rfam family: Bacterial small subunit ribosomal RNA
Source: RNAcentral